GACGAACGCUGGCGGCGUGCUUAACACAUGCAAGUCGAGCGAGGCCCUUCCUUCGGGAAGGAGCCCUAGCGGCGAACGGGUGAGUAACACGUGGGCAACCUGCCCCUAGCACUGGGAUAACUCCGGGAAACCGGGGCUAAUACCGGAUAUGACCUCCGAGGGCAUCCUUGGUGGUGUAAAGGAUUCUGGCUAGGGAUGGGCCCGCGGCCUAUCAGCUUGUUGGUGGGGUAACGGCCUACCAAGGCGACGACGGGUAGCCGGCCUGAGAGGGCGACCG
Molecule: ribosomal RNA, 277 nt
Filed under: uncultured bacterium
Lineage: Bacteria
Description: partial 16S ribosomal RNA
Rfam family: Bacterial small subunit ribosomal RNA
Source: RNAcentral